Molecule: ribosomal RNA, 497 nt
Filed under: uncultured bacterium
Lineage: Bacteria
Description: partial 16S ribosomal RNA
Rfam family: Bacterial small subunit ribosomal RNA
Source: RNAcentral
GAUGAACGCUGGCGGCGUGCCUAAUACAUGCAAGUCGAGCGAACAGACGAGGAGCUUGCUCCUCUGACGUUAGCGGCGGACGGGUGAGUAACACGUGGAUAACCUACCUAUAAGACUGGGAUAACUUCGGGAAACCGGAGCUAAUACCGGAUAAUAUAUUGAACCGCAUGGUUCAAUAGUGAAAGACGGGUUUGCUGUCACUUAUAGAUGGAUCCGCGCCGCAUUAGCUAGUUGGUAAGGUAAGGGCUUACCAAGGCAACGAUGCGUAGCCGACGUGAGAGGGUGAUAGGCCACACUGGAACUGAGACACCCUCCAGACGCCUGCGGGAGGCAGCAGUAGGGAAUCUUCCGCAAUGGGCGAAAGCCUGACGGAGCAGCGCCGCGUGAGUGAUGACGGUCUUCGGAUCGUAAAACUCUGUUAUUAGGGAAGAACAAAUGUGUAAGUAACUAUGCACGUCUUGACGGUACCUAAUCAGAAAGCCACGGCUAACUACGUG